GUGUACCACUUGCAUACUGCGGUUCCUCCGCGCCAUCGGCACCCACCAGGCGGCUGCUCGCGACAUUUUGUCAGCC
RNAcentral lists this small RNA (76 nucleotides) under Xanthomonas sp. LMG 9002. Its description in RNAcentral is "sX9 sRNA". It matches the Rfam family "Xanthomonas sRNA sX9". The record is from RNAcentral. Lineage: Bacteria; Pseudomonadati; Pseudomonadota; Gammaproteobacteria; Lysobacterales; Lysobacteraceae. RNAcentral also lists the same sequence under 2 other names.